AGUGAACGCUGGCGGUAGGCCUAACACAUGCAAGUCGAACGGCAGCACGGUAAGAGCUUGCUCUUACGGGUGGCGAGUGGCGGACGGGUGAGGAAUACAUCGGAAUCUACUUUUUCGUGGGGGAUAACGUAGGGAAACUUACGCUAAUACCGCAUACGACCUACGGGUGAAAGCAGGGGAUCUUCGGACCUUGCGCGAUUGAAUGAGCCGAUGUCGGAUUAGCUAGUUGGCGGGGUAAAGGCCCACCAAGGCGACGAUCCGUAGCUGGUCUGAGAGGAUGAUCAGCCACACUGGAACUGAGACACGGUCCAGACUCCUACGGGAGGCAGCAGUGGGGAAUAGUGGACAAUGGGCGCAAGCCUGAUCCAGCCAUACCGCGUGGGUGAAGAAGGCCGUCGGGUUGUAAAGCCCUUUUGUUGGGAAAGAAAAGCAGCAGGUUAAUACCCCGCUGUUCUGACGGUACCCAAAGAAUAAGCACCGGCUAACUUCG
Molecule: ribosomal RNA, 490 nt
Filed under: uncultured bacterium
Lineage: Bacteria
Description: partial 16S ribosomal RNA
Rfam family: Bacterial small subunit ribosomal RNA
Source: RNAcentral